CGGGAUGAGCUCAAAUUUAAAAUCCGGCUGGUUUACUAGUCCGAAUUGUAGUUUAAAGAAGCGUUUUCGGUGGCAGCUUGGGUAUAAAUCCUCUGGAAUGGGGUAUCAUAGAGGGUGAGAAUCCCGUCUUUGACUCAGUGGUUGCUACUAUGUGACACGUUUUCAAA
Molecule: ribosomal RNA, 167 nt
Filed under: Mortierella sp.
Lineage: Eukaryota; Fungi; Mortierellomycota; Mortierellomycetes; Mortierellales; Mortierellaceae
Description: partial large subunit ribosomal RNA
Rfam family: Eukaryotic large subunit ribosomal RNA
Source: RNAcentral